GGAAUCUUCCACAAUGGACGCAAGUCUGAUGGAGCAACGCCGCGUGAGUGAAGAAGGUCUUCGGAUCGUAAAACUCUGUUGUUAGAGAAGAACACGAGUGAGAGUAACUGUUCAUUCGAUGACGGUAUCUAACCAGCAAGUCACGGCUAACUACGUCCAG
This 160-nucleotide ribosomal RNA is filed under the name uncultured bacterium. RNAcentral's name for it is "partial 16S rRNA". It matches the Rfam family "Bacterial small subunit ribosomal RNA", at positions 358 to 511 of the family's 1533-position model. The record is from RNAcentral.